ACAAGUAAUUAAUUUCAGCAAGAGGAAAGAGAGAAAGAAGGAAGACAUUUUAUAGGAGGGAUCUUUGAGCUGAGCCUCAGGGGUACUGGGGUUCCAAGAGGAGGAGGAAGAGUUUAAUAUCCUAUUAAUCUCUGAAUGUAUUGCUCCCUUAUCUACAGUUCCCUUGCCCUGCUAUUGGAGGUAGGGGACCAUACAAGGAAGAAGGAACCAAAUGAAUCCUCACCUCAUGUUCGAUGACUGUACCUGUGCUGUUGAGGACUCUCCCUUGCCCAGUUUCGGUGGGACUGAUCCAGGGUCAGCCGGCUCGAAGCGGGUCCUCCUGAUGCCCAGCUAGAUGCCUGGACCACCUGUACCUCCUGUCUCUGGGGCUCUUAUCCCAAACCGCCACAAGAUGUUGACAAUGCUUUAGGUCGUAAUGUUGGCUAUUUCCGGGGCUAAAACCAGGUCCACAUUCUUCCUUUGAAGAGGUAGAAAUUCCAAACAAACACAGAUGGUCGGGCUAUAAACUUAAUUAAAAAUUCUCCUUUAAUGGAUGUUACGUUCAAUACAGUUAUGAUGCCAAGAGAAAUACACAAGAAAUCCAUUCAGCAGCCACAUCCUGGUGCUGCGACAUAGCCCGGGAACAGGCUGGAGAGCUGGGUAUGUUUGCAUUGGAGGAAGCGUGUGGGCGCGUAUCUCUCUCUCUCUUUUCUUGGCUUGGCUGCCAUCUUCCUAAUGUUUUGACCAAGAAAAGAUGGGUUUUAAUUAAAAUCUGGGGCCAGCCAGCUGUACAUCUGCUCACUUUUCUAUCCCAGUCUAGUCUUCCUUUAGGCCUUCUAAAAUGCAGCUAACUGUGCGAGGGACUCUUCCCCGUGUCUGUAAAUGGCGGCCAAUCAUUCUUCUAUUUAUUUAUUGCUUAGAAGCAUAAAGGAAUGAUAAUAUCUCCAAGGAGGUCCCAAAUGGUUUCUUCUUUGGUGAAAACCAUUUUUUCUUGAUAGACUCAAAGAAUUGUCAAGGUUUAAUAGGAUUUAUCUAAUCCAGUCCCCUCAACUCAGACGAGGAAACUGAGACCUAGAAAGAGGGAAUAGUUCGCUGGAGAUCUCACAGUAAUUGUAAAUGAGAAAUCUGAGAGGAGACCCUGGUUUUCUCAUUCAUUGCCUAGCACUCUUUCUUUUUCUAUUUUGACAUCUAACAGCUCCGUUCUUCCCUAACCCAUGAGAAUCUUUUUUCCCAAUGGGUAUAGCCCUUAUAACAACAAAAAAACAAACAGAAAAAAAAAGCAGAUGACCGACAGCACGACUUUAUGGGUACAGAAUGUUCCACAAACUGUCAGACAAACUAUCUCCCCUCCUUUGUUGAUUAAGUGUUGCUGCAUCUUCAUUGGUGACGCAGAAAAUAAUAGAACAUAAUGAGCCUUAGGGGGAAUAAAAGAUCUACUUUAAUAGUUAUUUCACAAAAUCCUGGUCCUGAAUUUAUCAGCUAUGUCACCUUGGCCAAAUCACUCUGCUUUCUGGCCUCUUCCCUCAUCUAUAAAAAGAGAGGGUUGGACUAAAACAC
Molecule: long non-coding RNA, 1536 nt
Organism: Sarcophilus harrisii (Tasmanian devil)
Lineage: Eukaryota; Metazoa; Chordata; Mammalia; Dasyuromorphia; Dasyuridae
Exons: 3
Source: RefSeq, a predicted model, not a curated record